Molecule: long non-coding RNA, 1770 nt
Organism: Poecilia latipinna (sailfin molly)
Lineage: Eukaryota; Metazoa; Chordata; Actinopteri; Cyprinodontiformes; Poeciliidae
Exons: 6
Source: RefSeq, a predicted model, not a curated record
GAACAUGCUUAUCAGUUGUUUCUGACGACUGACAAUCAGUCAAACGGAACAAAAGAUCGACAUUUAGUUACUUUCUGAGAUUAAUAGACGGAAACGUCUUAAUUAAUUAUGAAUUCCCUUAAUUUGCGCUCUAUAAAAUUUGUAAAAUAUAUGGAGCCAAAUAUUUGAUUAUUGCACUGUUACGUUUUGUGAUAAUUCCAAGAUUAAGCUCAAUUUGAGGUUUAUAAUUUAUUAAAGAUUUUUUUUUUUAAUCCAUUGAGCUGCACUAUUUAUAUUUGAAAGAGGUAUUAGGGCUAAUUAAGCCUGUAACAGGCAAGACGGUGUUUAUUUGAUUAGUAGAAUGGUUUCUGUCUUGUUUGACGAGUUUCUCCCCGGGGAUGUUUAAGGCCUCAGCGGGCUAGUCAAGUUGGAGGCCUCGGCUGGAGCACAGGCCCAGGUGUUAUGGUACAUGUUCUCCUGUAGGUGGCGGUAGUGACCCAGACAGAAAGAUUCCCAGCAUCUUGAUGUUUUAAAUGGCUUCAACAAGACUUUAGGAGACGUCCACAUGUAGGGGUAAGCUACAUGGCUAAAUUACCGACAGACAUAUAGAGACGACGUUGGAAGGGUUUUUGUUUUAUCAGCGAGCUGAUUCUUAACGAAGUAGUUGACCUGAUGAAGCAGUUUUAGGAGGUUUCUUAGUUCCGCCUCCACUUUUAGUUUCUACGCAACAAUUACUCUAACUAUAUGAUCUCCCCCCCUCUUCGACAUUUCAAACGAUGUAGUUCAUAAGCUCCAUUUUGUGUGGCAACACAGAGCUGAGCUCCUCCGGUCUGCUGUCCGCCACAGGAGGGCUUCUGGGCUUAGAACUCCAAAAGUUCGUAAAUCCCUGGUGAAAUAUGAAUUUUUAUGAUGGCUGAAAACUCAGAACACAUCCUGUUUCCAUGAUGUCAGCGCAGGAAGUAAGAGCCACCUGCUAGCUGGGAAGACGCUGAAUUUACACAAGACCGUUCAAACCUGCAGUACCAAAGAAGCUCUGUGUCUGAAAAUAAUUCAGUGAAAAAUGAAGUACGUCUCGUCUGAGGAAGAGUUAGGUCUUCACCUGGACCAGAGGCAUCACAUUGUGCUAAAAACAUCAAAUAAGACGUUCAUCGUUCAAAGGUUGAGCCUGGCUCGGCAUCUUCCUCUGCGUCUCCCCGAUGAAACGUUUCUGGCGGAGGCAAACAUGGUGGUUUAGGAGUCUUAAAAGCUGCUGCCAACAUUUGGUGUAAAUUGUAGAUUAAUUUUAGUAAUCAUACCUCUGUUACAGCUAAACCAACCAGAAUACUGGUCAUCUAGUGGGGUGACACAGCAGUGUUCUCGUUCGUUGCUGAUGAUUGGCUCUGAAAGAAGUGUGGAACAUGUCAGGAACAGGAGUGAGAUAAACUCUGUGUUCAAAACCUAAACAAUAUUUAAUAUUGUCAUGCAACACUUCAUAGACACAGGCUGACCAGAGGGAUAACAAUCUUAUCUGGAAUGUGGUGAUCUCACAUUCCAAGAGUGAAACACAGAGAACAGAGGAUACAUCAGCAUUAACUGGCUGUGUCUCCCACCCACUUCAUCCCAUUUCUCCCCAACCUUUGACCUCUGCAUCUCCACCCCUCCCCCCAAGCACACAGAAAACGCUGCUCAUGUGCUCUUCUGAAGAGGGGAAGAAAAAUGAAAAAAUUCAGUUAAUUAUCAUUGAAUAUGUUAUAUGUAGCAAUGGAGUAACUUUAUUCUUAACAAAUAAAUGCAACAUUUUAUCUUUGUGUG